UGGGGAAUCUUGCGCAAUGGGCGAAAGCCUGACGCAGCGACGCCGCGUGAGCGAAGAAGGCCUUCGGGUUGUAAAGCUCUGUUGGUGGGAAAGAAAUCUGACGGUACCCACUGAGGAAGCCCCGGCUAACUCCGUGCCAGCAGCCGCGGUAAGACGGAGGGGGCGAGCGUUGUCCGGAAUUACUGGGCGUAAAGGGCGCGUAGGCGGCUUCUUAAGUCGGUUGUGAAAGCCCCGGGCUCAACCCGGGGAGGCCAGCCGAUACUGGGGGGCUUGAGUGCAGGAGAGGGAAGCGGAACUGCCGGUGUAGCGGUGGAAUGCGUAGAUAUCGGCAGGAACACCCGCGGCGAAGGCGGCUUCCUGGACUGCUACUGACGCUGAGGCGCGAAAGCCAGGGGAGCGAACGGG
This 405-nucleotide ribosomal RNA is filed under the name uncultured bacterium. RNAcentral describes it as "bacterial SSU rRNA". It matches the Rfam family "Bacterial small subunit ribosomal RNA", at positions 355 to 776 of the family's 1533-position model. The record is from RNAcentral.